This 492-nucleotide ribosomal RNA is filed under the name uncultured bacterium. RNAcentral describes it as "partial 16S ribosomal RNA". It matches the Rfam family "Bacterial small subunit ribosomal RNA", at positions 29 to 507 of the family's 1533-position model. The record is from RNAcentral.
AGUGAACGCUGGCGGUAGGCCUAACACAUGCAAGUCGAACGGCAGCACAUUACGUGCUUGCUCUUACGGGUGUCGAGUGGCGGACUUGUGAUGAAUACAUCGGAAUCUACUUUUUCUUGUGGGAUAACGUAGGUAAACUUACGCUAAUACCGCAUACGACCUACUUUUUUAAUCAUUGGAUCUUCGUACCUUUCGCGUUUUAAUUAGCCGAUUUCGGAUUAGCUAGUUGGCUGGGUAAAGGCCCACCAAGGCGACGAUCCGUAGCUGGUCUGAGAGGAUGAUCAGCCACACUGGAACUGAGACACGGUCCAGACUCCUACGGGAGGCAGCAGUGGGGAAUAUUGGACAAUGGGCGAAAGAAGGAUCCAGCAAUACCGCGUGGGUGAAGAAGGACUUCGGGUUGUAAAGCCCUUUUGUUGGGAAAGAAAAGCAGCAGGUUAAUACCCAGCUGUUCUGACGGUACCCAAAGAAUAAGCACCGGCUAACUUCGUG